GGCAGGUAGCCUAGUGGUUAGAGUGUAGAGGAGGCAGGUAGCCUAGUGGUUAGAGUGUAGAGGAGGCAGGUAGCCUAGUGGUUAGAGUGUAGAGGUGGCAGGUAGCCUAGUGGUUAGAGUGUAGAGGUGGCAGGUAGCCUAGUGGUUAGAGUGUAGAGGAGGCAGGGUAGCCUAGUGGUUAGAGUGUAGAGGUGGCAGGUAGCCUAGUGGUUAGAGUGUAGAGGGGGCAGGUAGCCUAGUGGUUAGAGUGUAGAGGUGGCAGGUAGCCUAGUGGUUAGAGUGUAGAGGUGGCAGGUAGCCUAGUGGUUAGAGCGUAGAGGUGGCAGGUAGCCUAGUGGUUAGAGUGUAGAGGUGGCAGGUAGCCUAGUGGUUAGAGUGUAGAGGAGGCAGGUAGCCUAGUGGUUAGAGCGUAGAGGUGGCAGGUAGCCUAGUGGUUAGAGUGUAGAGGAGGCAGGUAGCCUAGUGGUUAGAGCGUAGAGGUGGCAGGUAGCCUAGUGGUUAGAGUGUAGAGGAGGCAGGUAGCCUAGUGGUUAGAGUGUAGAGGUGGCAGGUAGCCUAGUGGUUAGAGUGUAGAGGAGGCAGGUAGCCUAGUGGUUAGAGUGUAGAGGUGGCAGGUAGCCUAGUGGUUAGAGUGUAGAGGCGGCAGGGUAG
This is a long non-coding RNA of Oncorhynchus tshawytscha (Chinook salmon), 651 nucleotides long. Lineage: Eukaryota; Metazoa; Chordata; Actinopteri; Salmoniformes; Salmonidae. The record is from Ensembl.